Molecule: ribosomal RNA, 428 nt
Filed under: uncultured bacterium
Lineage: Bacteria
Description: bacterial SSU rRNA
Rfam family: Bacterial small subunit ribosomal RNA
Source: RNAcentral
UGGGGAAUCUUGCACAAUGCGCGAAAGCGUGAUGCAGCAACGCCGCGUGCGGGAAGAAGGCCUUAGGGUUGUAAACCGCUUUCAGUUGGGACGAAGCUUCGCGGGUUAAUAGCUCAUUGGAGUGACGGUACCUUCAGAAGAAGCGCCGGCUAACUACGUGCCAGCAGCCGCGGUAAUACGUAGGGCGCAAGCGUUGUCCGGAAUCAUUGGGCGUAAAGCGCGUGUAGGCGGCUGAGUAAGUCUGCUGUGAAAGUCCAGGGCUCAACCCUGGGAUGCCGCAGAUACUGCUUGGCUAGAGUACGGGAGGGGCGAGUGGAAUUCCUGGUGUAGCGGUGGAAUGCGCAGAUAUCAGGAGGAACACCUAUGGCGAAGGCAGCUCGCUGGAACGUUACUGACGCUGAGACGCGAAAGCGUGGGGAGCAAACAGG